RNAcentral lists this ribosomal RNA (377 nucleotides) under Lygodactylus fritzi. RNAcentral describes it as "partial large subunit ribosomal RNA". It matches the Rfam family "Bacterial large subunit ribosomal RNA", at positions 2031 to 2597 of the family's 2925-position model. Lineage: Eukaryota; Metazoa; Chordata; Lepidosauria; Squamata; Gekkonidae. The record is from RNAcentral.
AAUCAAUGAAAUUGAUCUCACAGUACAAAAGCUGUGAUAUACCCAUAAGACGAAAAGACCCUAUGGAGCUUUAAACUACUAUACUACUAACCCCUAGACCGCCCCCUGCCUAGUAUAUAUUUUUAGUUGGGGCAACUACGGAGCAAAACAAAAACUCCAUGACAAACACAUAACUCGCGCGCACCCCAGGCCGCCACGCCACACUAAUAUCUGACCCAGUACAACUGAACAUCGAACCAAGUUACCCUAGGGAUAACAGCGCCAUCUUCCCCCAAGAGCCCAUAUCAACGGGGAGGCUUACGACCUCGAUGUUGGAUCAGGACCCCCAGGCGGUGCAGCCGCUGCCAAAGGUUCGUUUGUUCAACGACUAACGUCCU